This 73-nucleotide transfer RNA is filed under the name Austwickia sp. RNAcentral's name for it is "tRNA-Ala". It matches the Rfam family "tRNA". Rfam says of the family: Transfer RNA (tRNA) molecules are approximately 80 nucleotides in length. Their secondary structure includes four short double-helical elements and three loops (D, anti-codon, and T loops). RNAcentral also lists the same sequence under 7 other names. Lineage: Bacteria; Bacillati; Actinomycetota; Actinomycetes; Micrococcales; Dermatophilaceae. The record is from RNAcentral.
GGGGAAGUGGCGCAAUUGGUAGCGCACCGCUUUUGCAAGGCGGGGGUUGCGGGUUCGAGUCCCGUCUUCUCCA